RNAcentral lists this non-coding RNA (22 nucleotides) under Arabidopsis thaliana (thale cress). The record is from RNAcentral. Lineage: Eukaryota; Viridiplantae; Streptophyta; Magnoliopsida; Brassicales; Brassicaceae.
UUUAAAACCACUUGGCAGUUGC